GUGGAUGUGUUGUAAUUGGCAGCAUAUCUAUUUUUGCCAAAUUGAAGGUGCGAGUUCAAAUCUCGUCAUCUACACCA
Molecule: transfer RNA, 77 nt
Filed under: Candidatus Nanopelagicus limnae
Lineage: Bacteria; Bacillati; Actinomycetota; Actinomycetes; Candidatus Nanopelagicales; Candidatus Nanopelagicaceae
Description: Candidatus Nanopelagicus limnes tRNA-OTHER
Rfam family: tRNA
About the family: Transfer RNA (tRNA) molecules are approximately 80 nucleotides in length. Their secondary structure includes four short double-helical elements and three loops (D, anti-codon, and T loops).
Source: RNAcentral